UGAGGAAUAUUGGUCAAUGGACGAGAGUCUGAACCAGCCAAGUAGCGUGAAGGAUGACUGCCCUAUGGGUUGUAAACUUCUUUUAUAUGGGAAUAAAGUGAGCCACGUGUGGCUUUUUGUAUGUACCAUACGAAUAAGGAUCGGCUAGCUCCGUGCCAGCAGCCGCGGUAGUACGGAGGAUCCGAGCGUUAUCCGGAUUUAUUGGGUUUAAAGGGAGCGUAGGCGGGUUGUUAAGUCAGUUGUGAAAGUUUGCGGCUCAACCGUAAAAUUGCAGUUGAUACUGGCAUCCUUGAGUACAGUAGAUGUAGGCGGAAUUCGUGGUGUAGCGGUGAAAUGCUUAGAUAUCACGAAGAACUCCGAUUGCGAAGACAGCCUGCUGGACUGUAACUGACGCUGAUGCUCGAAAGUGUGGGUAUCAAACAGG
RNAcentral lists this ribosomal RNA (424 nucleotides) under uncultured bacterium. RNAcentral's name for it is "bacterial SSU rRNA". It matches the Rfam family "Bacterial small subunit ribosomal RNA", at positions 355 to 776 of the family's 1533-position model. The record is from RNAcentral.